This is a long non-coding RNA of Seriola aureovittata, 1308 nucleotides long. RefSeq lists it as uncharacterized. The record is from RefSeq and is a predicted model, not a curated record. NCBI's taxonomy places the organism in Eukaryota, Metazoa, Chordata, Actinopteri, Carangiformes, Carangidae. The transcript is spliced from 3 exons.
GAAACUGAAUGAACUGGACUCUGAGAUGAACUGAGAAGCAAAUUAUCAUUUGACCUCACAAGUGGCAGCAGAAGCUUCACUACAGUUUUCUUUAAGAAACCACUGGCAGAGCUAGCUUGUUUUCCAGGAUUGCUAAUAGCAGCUACUGUGCCUCUGUCAGGCUAGCUAGCUAGCAGCAGUUAGCAGGAGUUUUGUCAACAAACAAACAAGAGUGCAGUGGGAUAUUGGAGUUUAUGGAUAUGGACCACAUAUGGACAUGGACCACAAAGAAGAAAGGGCUUCAGCUUCAGAUGAGGACAAGAUUUUCCACAUUUCCAUGAUGUUAUGAGUCUGAUAUGAGGCGUCUCCUCAAACACGCCGUGUCACAUUUUUGACAGCUGUCUGAGGUGGAAGAGGAAGAGUCCGGAUCAGCACGUCUGAAGCUGCUGCACCCCCCAUGUCGCUGGAUUACAUCACCACGUUAUUGGCCCCAGGUGAGCCCACAUUAGUCGCAGUGCAGGAGGUCAAAUCAAUGAAUCCCUACUAAAAUGAGUCGACUCCCUGCAGCAGUUUGGUAGUUUGCUCACAGGUUGUCAUCCUGCCACACCUGCCAAUAACAUACUAUCUAUUUCUACACACAAAACAAUAUUAGCUGUGGUCAUUGUGGAGUUUGUAAUGAAGACAAGACUUUAUUAACCGCCACUGACCUCAUAAAAACAGACACAACUGGAACAACUGAUUUUAACUCAUUUUGUUUUUACACAGCAGAUCAGUUUUAAAGAGCCUAUGUGUUGGAUUGUGCAAUUUCACAGACACUUCAAUAAAACAUCAAAUUAAAUAAAAAUAAUAUUAAAACAAUUACAAUCUAACACCAGUUUUCUAAAAUAAAAAAUAAAAAGUGUAGCCAAGUGGAAGCAAGCUCUGUAAGUGUGUCAGAAAACAACACUGCAAGAAACACCUGCAGUGAAAAUCAGACUGUCUGUCUGUUAGAGGGGAAAACUUCAUGUCUUUAUUAACAUGUUUGAAAUAUACUGUAUAUUGUAUGACUGGUUACAGGUCAAUGUCAGGCACUGAUGAAUAUUUCUCUCUAGAGGAGAACGGGGAGUGACACUUUAAAAAAAAAAAAAAAAAAAAAAAAAGGCCUACACUGUUUUUUGUGUAAUUGCUGAAGUGUUGAUUGGAUAUCGAUGCGGUGCUGAUGGUCGACAAAUAAACGCCUCGCACCGGAUGAGUGGUUUUCUGCUCAUGACUGCGCGCUCUCACCUGCGGGAGAAACUCUCAGCAGCCCCACGCAGGGGGCAGAAUAUGACCGUCGGGGUCUUACCUGUA